AGCACGAGAGAGGCGGAGAGCCGGCUGAGCAGUCAUCCUCCUCCCAGCCGGGGCCAGCCUCCCGCUGAGUGGCAGGGGCCAGCUGCUGACGGGCUGGCCUCUGACCCGGAGCCACCACUUGUCUGAGGACACCAGCAGUCAACCCUGGCCCCCGCCCCCAGCGCUCUGAGACAGCAGCUGAAGCAGAGAUGCCAAAACUUGGGGAUGGGGGAAAAGGAAGAAAAAUAGCAGAAAAGUUCUGAUGAGAGCGCGUUCCCUUCUCGUCUCUUUUUAUUUAUUCUUCUACACAGGAGAAUGGUGAAUCACCACGACUUUUUAGAAUGACAAGUACUUCAGAUAAAGAUAGCCCUUUACAAUUUUGCUGUCUCCGAAUCAGACAAAAUAGGUUUCAAAUAAAAUUGGCUUAUGGAGAGAAGGACUACAAAGAAUUAACCCCCGCCAAGCACUGUGUAGGUCCUCACUAGCCGGCUUUAUCCGAUUCUCAGCCGGACCCUUCCAAGGUUUCAAGGUAGCGGACAUACGUGAGAUGCCCGAAGCAUGGAAAGGACUGGUGCAGACUCUGAGAAUGGAGGGGCCACACAGAAGGAAUGAGGUGGCCUCGAGGAGACAGAGUGGCCCCUGGCUGACCAGCAAGAAGGGAACCUCAGGCCUGAGGCCACAAGGAAGUGGAUUCUGCCAAAGACCUGAACGCACUCGGAUGUGACUUUCUUCCCAAAGCUUCCAGGGUUGUGGGAAAGAAUCUCAUGGCUGUUUAGAAUGACUCACACCAAAAAUUAGAAAUAAACAGAUACCCCAAAGCACCAAGAAGCUCAUCCUUGGUUUGGACAAAUCCCUGGUUGUCAGAAAUCCUUCCAGACGAUAAAAUGAACCGUUGAUAAGAACAGCACAGAGAGCAGGCUGAUUAGAUAAUGGUCCCAGGGCAGAAGCUUUUGUUCAAUCAAUGUGUCUUCCUCUAUUGUCUUCAAUAACACUCUUCACUGAAAUGCAAUUUUGACAUCUUUUGCCCUCAUUUCACUAUGAAAAGCUAUUUGACAAUAUCCUCAGGGGAGAGCAAAUGGAAGUGAUGUUGACCUUCACAAAACAACCCUCCACCUUUCCCCGGGGUGCCCUCAGUUCUCACCCACACAUGUGCAUUUCCCCAAGGCUGUGAUGACUCAGCAGUUCUACGGAAAGUGGAGAUUCCAGAAUCUGCUUGAUUUGGGGACAGAGGUGGAUUGAUGAUGACAAAGACAAGCCUACGAACCCAAUCCCCAAUCUAACUACAAUGCAAAUUCAGAUUUUUUUUUUCUUUUAUAUUCCUUUCCUCCCUGCCCACACCAAGUUUCAGUUUCUCAAGCAUAAUAACUACAUUUCUUAUUACAAACUAUUUGCUAGUGCUUUACAAUACGUCCAGGGCUUUGUAUCCUGUCUCCACUCAAAACAAUUCAGCAAGGAGAUGCUGUUAAGCCCAUUUUAUUGAGGCUCAGUGACCUCACGCAGUGCAACGUAAUACAUGGCGAGGCCACAACUGAAACCCCGGUGUGCUGGGUCCCAAAGCUCCUUCAACUAUUCCCCACUUUCACUCGUGAACUUGGGCAAAGCCUUGGGAUGCAGCAGCUAUCUUGGGGAAAAUGAUUUUUUUCAAAGUAAAUUAAAGGAAUUAAUUUCUACCGGCUUUCUGGAAAAAAAAUAUGUACAUAUACAUAUACUGUAAAAUGGAAGUCCUUUGUCUUUAGCAAGCAAAGAGAAAGAAUAUGUUCAAAUCCAUUCCCUUUU
Kogia breviceps (pygmy sperm whale) is the source of this 1755-nucleotide non-coding RNA. NCBI's taxonomy places the organism in Eukaryota, Metazoa, Chordata, Mammalia, Artiodactyla, Physeteridae. The record is from RefSeq and is a predicted model, not a curated record.